Camelus dromedarius (Arabian camel) is the source of this 131-nucleotide small nucleolar RNA. NCBI's taxonomy places the organism in Eukaryota, Metazoa, Chordata, Mammalia, Artiodactyla, Camelidae. The record is from Ensembl.
AGGGUGUGCUCAGAACAGGGGGCCUGAAGAAACGGCUCCUGUUUACAAGACACUCAACAGGAAUCUGGGUUCACUGUGACAAGGGGCACCAGACUUGGUGCCUUUGUCCUGUGAGCAAAUACCUUCCACGU